AUACGGAGGGUGCAAGCGUUGUUCGGAAUUACUGGGCGUAAAGCGCGCGUAGGCGGAUUGGUCAGUUAGGGGUGAAAUCCCAGGGCUUAACCCUGGAACUGCCUCUAAUACUGCCAGUCUUGAGUUCGGGAGAGGUGAGUGGAAUUCCUAGUGUAGAGGUGAAAUUCGUAGAUAUUAGGAAGAACACCAGUGGCGAAGGCGGCUAACUGGCCCGAUACUGACGCUGAGGCGCGAAAGCGUGGGGAGCAAACAGGAUUAGAAACCCUAGUAGUCC
RNAcentral lists this ribosomal RNA (274 nucleotides) under uncultured bacterium. Its description in RNAcentral is "partial 16S ribosomal RNA". It matches the Rfam family "Bacterial small subunit ribosomal RNA", at positions 523 to 796 of the family's 1533-position model. The record is from RNAcentral.